Molecule: ribosomal RNA, 263 nt
Filed under: uncultured archaeon
Lineage: Archaea
Description: partial 16S ribosomal RNA
Rfam family: Archaeal small subunit ribosomal RNA
Source: RNAcentral
CAGCCGUAAACAAUGUGCGUUAGGUGUGUCGGUAACCACGCGUUACUGAUGCGCCGAAGAGAAAUCGUGAAACGCACCACCUGGGAAGUACGGUCGCAAGGCUGAAACUUAAAGGAAUUGGCGGGGGGAGGCACCACAACGGGUGGAGCCUGCGGUUUAAUUGGACUCAACGCCGGAAAUCUCACCGGAUAGGACAGACAUAUGAUAGUCGGGCUGAAGACUCUACUUGAUGAUCUGAGAGGUGGUGCAUGGCGUCAGUGACU